This 868-nucleotide ribosomal RNA is filed under the name uncultured archaeon. RNAcentral describes it as "bacterial SSU rRNA". It matches the Rfam family "Archaeal small subunit ribosomal RNA", at positions 1 to 878 of the family's 1478-position model. The record is from RNAcentral.
CUCCGGUUGAUCCCGCCGGACCCGACUGCUAUCAGAGUGGGACUAAGCCAUGCGAGUCAACAUAGCAAUAUGUGGCAUACGGCUCAGUAACACGUAGUCAACAUGCCCAGGGGACGUGGAUAACCUCGGGAAACUGAGGAUAAACCGCGAUAGGUCAUCACUUCUGGAAUGGGUAAUGACUUAAAUCUAUAUGGCCCCUGGAUUGGACUGCGGCCGAUCAGGCUGUUGGUGAGGUAAUGGCCCACCAAACCUGUAACCGGUACGGGCUCUGAGAGGAGGAGCCCGGAGAUGGGCACUGAGACAAGGGCCCAGGCCCUAUGGGGCGCAGCAGGCGCGAAACCUCUGCAAUAGGCGAAAGCUUGACAGGGUUACUCUGAGUGAUUUCCGUUAAGGAGAUCUUUUGGCACCUCUAAAAAUGGUGCAGAAUAAGGGGUGGGCAAGUCUGGUGUCAGCCGCCGCGGUAAUACCAGCACCCCGAGUGGUCGGGACGUUUAUUGGGCCUAAAGCAUCCGUAGCCGGUUCUACAAGUCUUCCGUUAAAUCCACCUGCUUAACAGAUGGGCUGCGGAAGAUACUAUAGAGCUAGGAGGCGGGAGAGGCAAGCGGUACUCGAUGGGUAGGGGUAAAAUCCGUUGAUCCAUUGAAGACCACCAGUGGCGAAGGCGGCUUGCCAGAACGCGCUCGACGGUGAGGGAUGAAAGCUGGGGGAGCAAACCGGAUUAGAUACCCGGGUAGUCCCAGCUGUAAACGAUGCAGACUCGGUGAUGAGUUGGCUUAUUGCUAACUCAGUGCCGCAGGGAAGCCGUUAAGUUUGCCGCCUGGGGAGUACGGUCGCAAGACUGAAACUUAAAGGAAUUGGCGGGGGAGCA